Molecule: long non-coding RNA, 631 nt
Organism: Leopardus geoffroyi (Geoffroy's cat)
Lineage: Eukaryota; Metazoa; Chordata; Mammalia; Carnivora; Felidae
Exons: 2
Source: RefSeq, a predicted model, not a curated record
UGGCUGGCCAUGUCGGCGGUAUACAAAGAGGCUCCUGGGACUGGACUGGGAGCCGCUGGAGGAGCAGGUACCAGGCGUGGAGAUGUGCCUGUCACAGGUAUGAUCGUGUGUUUGCAGUUACCUACUGACAAACUUUGAUGGAAUGAGUCAGGAAACUAUUUUCCUCCUUGUUCGGACCCUGCUACCAUGACCUUGGACAAGUUACUUUCUACUACAUGAGGAAAGCUGCUUCUUGUCACCAGACUGUCUCACCUCCCAGGGCAGGCCAGCCUUUGAUUUUCCAUAUUAUUGGGAGAGACCCUGGCUCAGAGAAAGAACACUGCAUAAUAAAUUAUGGGAUGUCAGUCUUCGGCAUACGUUAUUUGAACUUUUGGGCAACAGAUUCACCUUAUCAAUUCUGUUUUGAUAAAGCUAGUACCAAAAGUAUCCCAUACACAGCACAUCCUGGCUGACUAGGAGGAGAAGCUGAGAACCAAAACAAACAAAAAAUUGGCAAUCAGAAAGAGAUAAACCGGUGUGAAAAUGAUCGAGGGGUCCUGUGAAGUUAAUAAGGCAGUAUCAGAGUACUUUGUUCCGCUUAGAGGAAAACGGAUGCACACUCUACAACUGUCCAAGUCCUGGAAACCAGGGA